GAGACGUUGGGCGGAGCCUGAUCAGCCAUGCCGCGUGUGUGAAGAAGGCCUUAUGGUUGUAAAGCACUUUAAGCGAGGAGGAGGCUACUUUAGUUAAUACCUAGAGAUAGUGGACGUAACUCGCAGAAUAAGCACCGGCUAACUCUGUGCCAGCAGCCGCGGUAAUACAGAGGGUGCAAGCGUUAAUCGGAUUUACUGGGCGUAAAGCGCGCGUAGGCGGCUAAUUAAGUCAAAUGUGAAAUCCCCGAGCUUAACUUGGGAAUUGCAUUCGAUACUGGUUAGCUAGAGUGUGGGAGAGGAUGGUAGAAUUCCAGGUGUAGCGGUGAAAUGCGUAGAGAUCUGGAGGAAUACCGAUGGCGAAGGCAGCCAUCUGGCCUAACACUGACGCUGAGGUGCGAAAGCAUGGGGAGCAAACAGGAUUAGAUACCCUGGUAGUCCAUGCCGUAAACGAUGUCUACUAGCCGUGGGGGCCUUUGAGGCUUUAGUGGCGCAGCUAACGCGAUAAGUAGACCGCCUGGGGGAGGACGGGCGCAAAGACUAAAACUCAAAGGAAUUUGACCGCGGGGCGGGGGCGGCGGGAC
This 581-nucleotide ribosomal RNA is filed under the name bacterium KU1. Its description in RNAcentral is "bacterial SSU rRNA". It matches the Rfam family "Bacterial small subunit ribosomal RNA", at positions 365 to 938 of the family's 1533-position model. The record is from RNAcentral.